RNAcentral lists this long non-coding RNA (327 nucleotides) under Zostera marina. Its description in RNAcentral is "long non-coding RNA (ZMAR_LNC002015)". The record is from RNAcentral. Lineage: Eukaryota; Viridiplantae; Streptophyta; Magnoliopsida; Alismatales; Zosteraceae.
CCUUCACUUUCCACUCUGUUUCAAGGAUUUAGCCACGGCCAGUUAAGGAUUAGCCACGGAUUUUGGCCGUGGCCCUUCACUUUCCACUUUGUUUCAAGGAUUUAGCCACGGCCAAUUAAGGAUUAGCCACGGAUUUUGGCCGUGGCCCUUCACUUUCCACUCUGUUUCAAGGAUUUAGCCACGGCCAAUUAAGGAUUAGCCACGGAUUUUGGCCGUGGCCCUUCACUUUCCACUCUGUUUCAAGGAUUUAGCCACGGCCAGUUAAGGAUUAGCCACGGAUUUUGGCCGUGGCCCUUCACUUUCCACUCUGUUUCAAGGAUUUAGCCA